RNAcentral lists this small RNA (6462 nucleotides) under Rattus norvegicus (Norway rat). RNAcentral describes it as "uncharacterized LOC103694180". The record is from RNAcentral. Lineage: Eukaryota; Metazoa; Chordata; Mammalia; Rodentia; Muridae.
UCAAGAGGCUGUGAGGCAGCUCAGCGUCUCCAUUAGAAUUCAGAGUAUUCCACGGUAAUUACAAAACAGCUGUAAUGGAAAAUUGGUAGUCAAACCCAUUUUCCAGCGACUAGAACGGUGAAUGGGCUCCAUUAUGUUCCUAAUUCUCAUUAACUUAAUUUGCAUAGGAAACAAUGAAGGAAUACAUAAUGAAGUACAGUGGGCCAGCAGCCCAGCCCUCACCCCCACAAUGCUGGGUUCAACUUGCACUGACCCACCCCACAGAGAGGGAGAAACCCAGGGCUCCCUGUGGACUGGACCUCCCCCAGGUGACCUGAAGCUGCCCUGAUGGAGCACAAUGGAGGGAUACCACUUGUCUGUAACUUGUUCAGGAUCCCUUUGCCUCAGCACACACCAUGUAAACCCUGAUUCUUCUCCACACCCCUGCUUUGGGGAAGGCUGAAGAACUGGAGCAGAAGGAAAAAGAACUUGUUUUUAGCUCUUCAGGUGCCAUAACUCUGCAUCCCAGAGAGAAAACAAACACCUGCUUGAGAAGCAGUAUUGUUGGUCCCUGUGUAAGAAACAACCAGACGACCCUCCAGAUACAAACACCUUCUCUUCCCUGCAGCCAGCACCACCCUCACAGUUUGGAGCCACAGCCUACCAUGUAUGCAGACAAUAGGAAACAGCAAUGCCUUUGUGCUUCAGGGAGAAGAGGAGAAGGGCAGGAGAGUAAAUGUGGUCGUGACGAAACACAAACCAUGCAAUGCCAUGCACAUCUUUUUCCUGUUGGAUAUCGGGAUGUAUUUGGCUCAAUAUCUAGUGCACGCACAGUAUCAGGCUCACAAAAAUAUGGAGAACUAACUGGAUACCUGAGAAGAGAAGAAGGGAAAGAAGAAGACUGGAGAUGCAAAUGCAUAGAGAACCUGGAGGCAGAAACUAGAGCAGAGGCCAUGGAGGAGCCAUACUACUGACUUACUCCCAGAUUCACACCUCUCAAGACCACCUGCCUAGAGAUAGCACAGCUCACAGUGAGCUGGGCACUCCCCCAUCAAUCAGCAAUCAAGAAAAGACCCUGAAGACAUGUCUACAAGCCAAUCCAAUGGGGGAAAAUUUUCAACUGGGGUUCACACAUCCAAAUGUGACAAGUUGACCACAAGGUGAGUUAGUCAUCACAGAUGUGAAAUCACUUUGUCAUAGCAUCAUUUUUUUUUCUAUCUCAAGAGGAACUGUAGGUUUUUCCUAUUUCAACGUCUCAAUGGAAGAAUGACUGUCUUGAACAUUAAAUUUGGACUUGAUCUUGCUUUCAGCCGCAGACUUCCUGAGAUGUUACAGCCAUAAUAAACAAACCUCCCUCCUGAUGCCCCAGUUCAGAAUUCCACAUGUGGAAGAGAUUAUUUCAUAGGCGACAUGGCGAAGAAUGAGGUAGCAUCUGAACAAUAAAGGUCUCAGAUCUAAUUUUCUGAACCCUACAAUAAGGUUGAUAACUGAGUGGCGGUUAGCAAUGCACCUUAGACUGAUUUGGCUUCUCUUUCCUCUUAGAACCCUGGGCACACCCAGUGGUAUCCAGAUCUCUCUAGGUAUGAGAUAGUUGAGACCCCAGACUGGGAUUGUAUUAGCCUACAUAAGUAGCUCUGGGUGUCUUGACCUUUCACAGUUACCAGAAUCAUCUGGACACGAUGUUGCAAAUCCCAGUAACUGGACCAGACCCUCCCUAGGUUUGUUAAUUUCAGAUGGCUAGUUUGUAGACUUAGCCAUAAUUAUUUUUGCUAAACUUCUGGCUAUCUCCAUCGUAACGAAUACCAGGAGUCACUGUUCUCCAUGAACCACAAAGGAAGAUCAUGUCUACAUGGAUUACCUAGUUCCAUCAUGUAAUAUUGCCUGAGUGAGUGAUCACAGAGACUUCGGUCUAAUACCACAAAGAGAAGAAUCUCCCAGAGUCCCCUGCGUAGAUGCCCUAGAACAAGGACUUAUGAAGAAUCAGUACUGCAUCCAGAGAAGACAGUGCAGUCCUGAAGCCAGAGCUUGGACACAGAGUCAAACUGAGGGCUGUGAAAUGUCAAGCUGCCAGGCAAAAUCUAAGGACCCCAGGCGAAGAGACGGUUUACCUGUAUUCAGAGCGAACCUUCCAAGCGCAGUGAAACCUUUCUGGAGACACCCUCACGGACAAUCACAAAAGUGUCUUUCUUAGUGAUUCCAAAUGUACUAAAGCUGACAAGAAAGAUCAUCCCGUCACACUGGGUUUGCUUCCAGUCUGCUCAGAGAAGGAUUUCCAAGUUUCUCCAGCUGUACUGAGGGGGAAGCUUGGUUCUGGAGCUAAGGAAGUUCAUCAUUUGGUAAAGAUCUUUCUGCAUUGUCACAUGUCGGAAGACAAAUGCCUGAGAGACAGAGAUCACACAAAUCAGUUCUUUUAUCAGGAACCCAUUCUGAGUUUAAUGAGCCUGAGAAUUUUCCUCCAGAGAACGUUUCCCAGAAUAUUACACAGCUUUGGAAACAAAUACCAGCUCCAGUUGUAUGGCCUGAAAACAUCAGUGUGGUCCUAAAGGAAACAAAUCCACCCUAAGGGAGUAUGAUAAGAACCCAACACAACUGUCUUGAGAGGCUUCAUCCAGACGCUGAUGGAAAUAAAUGUAGAGACCCACAGCCAAAACAUUAGACAGAGCAUGAGGAGUCUUGUGGAAGAGUCGGGGACAGGAUUGAGGGAUCCAGAGAGAUCAAGGCUACCACAAGAAGACCUACAGAGUCAACUAAGCUGGGCCCAUGGGGCUUCACAAAGACUGAACCACCAACCAAAAACCAUGUGUUUCUAUGUUUUCAUCAUUAUUUUCAUGAUAAUGCUAGAAGGAAACGUUGUUCUCAUGCCUCUAUAUAUGAAGGCAACCCAAAAGACAUGUGUCAACCUCUACAGCAGCAAGGAAAGGUUGGGAGUGGGAGGCCUCUCAAUACUUUCUGCUUCUCCAAGUGGCCAAACUCACCGGCAGAUCUUGCUGCAGCAAUGACAAGAAAGGUGCUUCCUGGUGAAGUCCUGGAUGAAGCCUAUGGAGAAGGGAAGGCUGCUGAGAACAUCCUGCCACCUCCCACAAUGCACCAAAAAAAGAAGCCUUGGUCUUUAAUGCCAGUCCUAAUUGAGUGGAUGGACCCCAUAGGUGAGCCCCAAAUUGGGAACCAUGGGAGGUUAGAAAUUAAACAGCAGCUUCAGUCUGCAAACUCAGAAACCUUGCAGGCUGGUGGGAGGAGGAGAAGAAACCAGAACUGGUUCUAUGCCCCGAUGCUCUCUGGUGUGGACAUACUGGUGUAGUUACCUGGUGGUGAAAUUUCAGGGCUCUCCAAAGGUAGAGCCACUCCAGCUUCUCACGGGGACUCUUAACAUUUCACAUACUAAACUAUCUCCUUAUACAGAUAGUGAUGAUGCUGAUAUACUGGGUAAAUUAUUUCCAUUUACAUUAAAAUUACACCUGCUUCAUCCAACGGGGAGGAGGACCAACAGGCUCUGGUGAAGUGGAUCAGAGUGAGAAGAAGCUUAACAGAAUUCUGAAAAGGAGCCUGGUUUGACUCUGAAAGUGUUCCGUAGGGAAAGAAGCCUCACCAGAAAUUGGCCAUGUGAAACAGAACUGAGAAUGGAGAAAAUUGCUUCCAGUUCCAGGUAGAGAGACCAAGACAACAUGAUUGGCAAGUGGGAUAUAUGGAAGAGGUCACUAGAGUUCAAGGUCCUUCAUACUCAUGUGAGAGAAAAAGAAAAAGGAAAUGAUGCAAAGAAGAAAUCAAAAGUCCACUGAGUUCAGUCACCCAUAAGAAACAUGAGGUAAGUGACCCAGAGGUUGAGGGGACCUGGGGCUCUAUAACUGAAUGCUGAUCAACCCUCAGGAGAAGAACUGUAGAAAGCAAUGGAGAGGUAGAGAAAGGUAGAAAAGCAGAUAUUUCUGUAGCACUUACCUGUGUAGCACUGACUCUGGGUAGUCUCUAAGUAGAACUGACGGCAUUGCAAACACAAUAAGCAGUUCUAGACAAACUGGAAUAGCAAUCAGUUUGGGAGCCUGGGAGUAGUCACACUUUUGCUGUUGUCAACGCUUUCAGUGGCUUUAAUUUUCAGUGGUAAGCACAACUUCUAUAUAGUGUUGUCAAAAUUGCAAUGAAGUUAUGUCAUUGAAUAUUAAAGGCCCAACCCAUGGAGUGCCAACACAUAGAUUUGAAUUUCAUGCUUGCCCCUAAACAUCAAGAUAAAUAUGUCUAAUUUUAUAAAAACCUGGCCAACCCCAUGGAGGCUGACAAUUACAUCUAUUGUUACCCAAGUAUGCUAGAAUAAAACCUGGCUCUGAUCAAUGUGUGAGAGCAAAAAUUGGAGGGAAGGGGGGAAAGGAAAAAAAACACAAGAAUCAUCAUAGAGGCAGUUCAAAUUGGCUACCUGUGUUUGUAAUCUCCUUGUCAAAUACACUGAUUAAUGGGACAUUUGAUUUCAGAAGGAUGGGGCCUACAUUUAAUGAACAAUUUUGAAAAAUCACACUGAUAGGUUAUGGGGUGAAUAUUGGGAAACUUGAAAAAUAUAAGACUAAAGGAAGGGAUAAAAAAAACAGACCUGUAAGAGCUCCUAUUACAAGCCAGGCACUUGGGCUCCAUCCUGAAGGCAGUAGCAGCCCCAGCAGGAUUCUAAGCACGAGUGAGGUCAUACUUGUUUCUUAGAAAAAUUACUUUGUCUUCAAAGUAAAAAUUGGAUCAAGGCAGUAAAGCUGGAAAUACAUAGAACAGUAAAGGAUCAAAUGUCUCGUGAGUCCCUGAACUGGGGCAACGAUUAAGGAAACAAAACAUGCCCAGCUUUGAGAGGUAAGAGAUCAGUAUGCCUGUCACUGCUUUGAAUGAUAGGGUAAGGAAAAAGGAGUGGUAAGGGAAGUCAAUUAGAUUUCUGGGUGUGACGGGAGUAUAGUCAGUAAGUAACUCAUGAUUCUGAAGUAUUAAUGUACACUAUAUUAAUUCCAGAUUUUCAAUGUACUGUAAGGCAUGUUAAUUAUGAUAAGGGGAGCCUUAGAUGCUCAUCCUAAGUCAAUUGAGUGAAGAGUCCACUCAUCUAAUCAAUGUAUCACUGUGGUGAUCUGAAGCCCUGGGUGAAUGAGUAAGGAGUAGAUGGAGUCCUGCGUGAAUGUGUGCUGUUGGUAUGAUGUCAAGGACCCCAGAUCCAUGGAAAUUGAAGGCCUUCCCCUAGUUAGACUCGGGGAAAGAGCAAAGCCAAUUUCUGGUCUGAAUGAAUGCUAGCAGUGUAUGCAGAAUGCACACUAAUAAAUCCUGGGUUGUGCAGUUGGUACCUCCCAUCAGUGCUAGCACAGCUGACAUGAGCCUCCCUUCUCUACAUGUGUAUGUCAUUUCUUCAGAGUGUUAUGUCUUUACCCCUAAGUCUCCCAUGUCAGGUUUCCAGAAUCAAGCUGUGCAACACAGCACAUGAUGUGAUAGAGAGCUCAAUAGAAAAAGACAGUGACAAAGUCUAAUUUAUAAUUUAGUCCAAUUUGUGAUUUAGACAAAGUCCAAAGUUAGGAAUUGAAUUAGAAGAAGAGCACAGGGAGACCAGAGAAAGACAAGAAAGGUGGUUUGGAAGAAAGAAGGAGAGUGCAUCAAAAGUAGGAUGCUGGAGGUCACAGGGGCAAAGAAACGAAAGCUAAACUACUAGGGAGCUAGAUGUAAAACCCUAACCCAGGGCAGCCCUGUGGUCCUGGGAAGACAGAUGUGGCAUGGGUAGCCUCUUCCUGAGGCUGGGGUAAUUAGCUCUUGACUGAGUCCUAGUAUUUAUGACCUCAUUUCUCCUUUUCUCUUUCUCCAAUUUUCUCAUUUCUCUCAUUCAAGAUGCAAGAUUCUUGCCUCCUUAAUGAAACAUCUCUUGUCCUACAUUACUCUUCUUGGACCUAACUUUCUACCAUACAGAGUUUGAAUCAUGUCCCAUCUAAGCCCGGAAUCACAUGAAUUACCUGUCUGGUUUUCUUCUUCAUGGGUCCAUGUGGCAUAAAUAAAAGAACUGAUAUGGUUUGGAGCCAAUCAGACCUUAAAAUACAAAAUCUCCUAUGGUCCUGAAGCUGCCAUUGCUCCAAACAUCUCACCCCAUCUCACUCUAGCCACACUGUACUCAUCUUGAUCAUUCAAACACACCACACCUCCAGAUCAAUUUGCCGAUGAACCAUGAGUAUGAACAUAUGUCACAAGCAAGAAAAGCCAGCAAAAAGUAUAAUCAACCCCUUGUGUAUGGGCCUAUGAUAGCCUGUGCUCUAGAUUGUAGAUCCCAGAUAGACUACCUUGCCUUAAUCUAUAUACCUAAAUGCAGUGUACUCCAGUUGCUUGGCAAAUUUCCUGGACCUACAACUGAUACUAAGAAUAUAAAAAAUAAAGCUGCAUAGUGUUGAACAACUGACAUCUGGAUAUCUUUUGUUCCUGCCUUGUAUAGCCAUUUCUGAUAAACAUAGAGGCCAGAAGGCUCUGAAACUAGAGAACAAUGAGAAAUCUACAAAU